AUAGUUUGUAGGAAGAAAAUGUCCACUGUUUUUUUUUCUGUUUUUUUU
RNAcentral lists this small RNA (48 nucleotides) under Arabidopsis thaliana (thale cress). Its description in RNAcentral is "ATSL213030". Lineage: Eukaryota; Viridiplantae; Streptophyta; Magnoliopsida; Brassicales; Brassicaceae. The record is from RNAcentral.